This 74-nucleotide transfer RNA is filed under the name Otolemur garnettii (small-eared galago). It matches the Rfam family "tRNA". From Rfam's summary of the family: Transfer RNA (tRNA) molecules are approximately 80 nucleotides in length. The record is from Rfam by way of RNAcentral. Lineage: Eukaryota; Metazoa; Chordata; Mammalia; Primates; Galagidae.
GUGCCUGUGGCUCAAAGUAGUAGGGUGCCGGUCCCAUACACCGGAGAUGGCGGGUUCAAACCCAGCCCAGGCCA